AGAGUUUGAUCCUGGCUCAGGAUGAACGCUAGCGGCAGGCUUAAUACAUGCAAGUCGUGGGGCAGCGCAGUGUAGCAAUACAUGGGCGGCGACCGGCAAACGGGUGCGGAACACGUACACAACCUUCCUUCAAAUGGGGAAUAGCCCAGGGAAACUUGGAUUAAUACCCCGUAACAUUAUGAAGUGGCAUCACUUUAUAAUUAUAGCUCCGGCGUUUGGAGAUGGGUGUGCGGCUGAUUAGGUAGUUGGCGGGGUAACGGCCCACCAAGCCUUCGAUCAGUAACUGGUGUGAGAGCACGACCAGUCACACGGGCACUGAGACACGGGCCCGACUCCUACGGGAGGCAGCAGUAAGGAAUAUUGGGCAAUGGACGCAAGUCUGACCCAGCCAUGCCGCGUGGAGGAUGAAGGUCCUCUGGAUUGUAAA
RNAcentral lists this ribosomal RNA (427 nucleotides) under uncultured bacterium. Its description in RNAcentral is "bacterial SSU rRNA". It matches the Rfam family "Bacterial small subunit ribosomal RNA", at positions 8 to 429 of the family's 1533-position model. The record is from RNAcentral.